UGUUAAAAAUUUCAUCUAUUUGUAUUGUUAAAAACUAACGUGGCUGAUAAACUAACCAAACAAUAAUAUUAGCAUGCCAUGUUGACAUAUAAGGACGAAUUUUCAACAAUUGAAAUGGGUAAACUUUUUAACA
RNAcentral lists this microRNA precursor (133 nucleotides) under Gossypium hirsutum (cotton). RNAcentral describes it as "MIR7502 microRNA precursor family". It matches the Rfam family "MIR7502 microRNA precursor family". The record is from Rfam by way of RNAcentral. Lineage: Eukaryota; Viridiplantae; Streptophyta; Magnoliopsida; Malvales; Malvaceae.